UGAACUACAUUUAUGAGCCUUAUGUCC
Molecule: non-coding RNA, 27 nt
Filed under: Rattus norvegicus (Norway rat)
Lineage: Eukaryota; Metazoa; Chordata; Mammalia; Rodentia; Muridae
Source: RNAcentral